UACGGAGGAUCCAAGCGUUAUCCGGAUUUAUUGGGUUUAAAGGGUGCGUAGGCGGCCUAUUAAGUCAGGGGUGAAAGACGGUAGCUUAACUAUCGCAGUGCCUUUGAUACUGAUGGGCUUGAAUGUACUUGAGGUAGGCGGAAUGUGACAAGUAGCGGUGAAAUGCAUAGAUAUGUCACGGAACACCAAUUGCGAAGGCAGCUUACUAAAGUAUGAUUGACGCUGAGGCACGAAAGCGUGGGGAUCAAACAGG
Molecule: ribosomal RNA, 253 nt
Filed under: uncultured bacterium
Lineage: Bacteria
Description: partial 16S ribosomal RNA
Rfam family: Bacterial small subunit ribosomal RNA
Source: RNAcentral